RNAcentral lists this ribosomal RNA (433 nucleotides) under uncultured bacterium. RNAcentral describes it as "partial 16S ribosomal RNA". It matches the Rfam family "Bacterial small subunit ribosomal RNA", at positions 29 to 507 of the family's 1533-position model. The record is from RNAcentral.
AGCGAACGCUGGCGGCAGGCCUAACACAUGCAAGUCGAACGAACUCUUCGGAGUUAGUGGCGGACGGGGGAGUAACACGUGGGAACGUGCCUGUUGGUUCGGAGUACCUCAGGGAAACUUGUGCUAAUACAGAAUGUGCCCUUCGGGGGAAAGAUGUCUCGCCAUUAGAGCGGCCCGCGUCUGCUUCGCUGGUUGGUGAGGUAACGGCUGACCAAGGCGACGAUCAGUAGCUGGUCGGAGAGGAUGACCAGCCACACUAGGACUGAGACACGGCCCAGACGCCUACGGGAGGCAGCAGUGGGUAAUCCUGCGCAAUGGGCGAAAGCCUGACGCAGCCAUGCCGGGUGAAUGAUGAAGGUCUUAGGAUUGUAAAAUUCUUUCAGCGGGGACGAUAAUGACGGUACCCGGAGAAGAAGCCCCGGCUAACUUCGUG